RNAcentral lists this transfer RNA (71 nucleotides) under human gut metagenome. It matches the Rfam family "tRNA". Rfam says of the family: Transfer RNA (tRNA) molecules are approximately 80 nucleotides in length. The record is from RNAcentral.
GGGAUAUAGCUCAGUUGGUAGAGCGGUUGCUUCGCAUGUAACAGGCCGACGGUUCGAAUCCGUUUAUCUCC